UGUCCAGUUAAAGGCUGAGAUUGAUUUAAAAUCAAUCUAUGGCCUAAAAUCAGCCACGCCAUUUAAAAUACACUUAACAGAGCAAUGAGUUACUUAACGUUAGUUUUCAACGUUUCUUCUCACUUUCUUUGUCUCUCUCAUUCUUUUGUCUCUUCUCACUUUCUCUGUCUCUCUCAUCAAAACUCCAUGGCUCCUCUCUCUCACCUCAACCGAGUUUCUCCCUCACUCUCCCUAGCGCUCCACUCUCUCAACCCCGACUGCGCCUCCACCUGUCUCUCCACCUCCACGCUUGCUCUCUGCCUCUCCCUCAACCGAGUUUCUCCCUCACUCUCCCUAGCACUCCACUCUCUCAACCCCGACUGCGCCUCCACCUGUCUCUCCACCUCCACGCUUGCUCUCUGCCUCUCCCUCAACCUCGUUGCUUCCCGCAUUCCCAACUCAAACCCAUAAGCAAAAACAAAGAAAAAACAGUAUAUAGUAACUCACUAGCUGAGAUCCCGACCCCACACACUCGCACCCUUUUUAGACCCAGAUCAGAGAGAGAGUAAGGGUUGGGGUUUGGAGAGAAUCGGGUGAGAAUUUGAUGCUUUUCAGACCCAAAUGGGUUAGGGUUUGGAUAGAAACGGGUAAGAGAGAAGUUGAUGCUCAAUCUCCAUGGUUACAGCUAGCAGCCACCGUGUUCUGCUCCACCGAUUCCGGCGGUGGCUCUGGUUGAAUGGCAUGAUUAUAGGUAUGCUAUUCUUCUUUUGAUCACUGAGAGCGAGAAAAGGCGAGUGCUGGAGGGAUUUGUGAAGACCAUGAAGCUGGCUUUGUUCACGAUUUCUUUUUUUUUUUUUGGGAGAAAUUGUUCAUAAAAUUUUAGAUAUAAAGAACAUGACUCGUAUCUAUUUUAGUUGGGAUCAAAAUCAAGAUGUAGCUAUUUUGGCUUUCUUGAAACACUGAAAUCACAUAUUUAUAUUGUAAAGCUAAUUUAGCUAAGCUAUAAAGCCUUUUUGUUUUGGGUUU
Long non-coding RNA from Quercus robur (English oak), 1005 nucleotides. RefSeq lists it as uncharacterized. Lineage: Eukaryota; Viridiplantae; Streptophyta; Magnoliopsida; Fagales; Fagaceae. The record is from RefSeq and is a predicted model, not a curated record. The transcript has 2 exons.